UGGCGACGGGUGAGUAACGCGUCGGGGAACCUGCCCUGUACAGGGGGAGUAACACUUAGAAAUAGGUGCUAAUACCGCAUAAGCGCACAGUAUCGCAUGAUACAGUGUGAAAAACUCCGGUGGUACAGGAUGGACCCGCGUCUGAUUAGCUGGUUGGCGGGGUAACGGCCCACCAAGGCGACGAUCAGUAGCCGGCCUGAGAGGGUGAACGGCCACAUUGGGACUGAGACACGGCCCAAACUCCUACGGGAGGCAGCAG
Molecule: ribosomal RNA, 259 nt
Filed under: uncultured bacterium
Lineage: Bacteria
Description: partial 16S ribosomal RNA
Rfam family: Bacterial small subunit ribosomal RNA
Source: RNAcentral